RNAcentral lists this unclassified non-coding RNA (355 nucleotides) under Hevea brasiliensis (rubber tree). Lineage: Eukaryota; Viridiplantae; Streptophyta; Magnoliopsida; Malpighiales; Euphorbiaceae. The record is from RNAcentral.
AUUUUUUUUUUUUUUAAAUUUCCCUAUUAUGUUUGAAAAAACUGAGUUAAACUCUCAAAGGGCUUAUUUUAAACCAUUAUACCAUAAUGAAUUUUUAGAAUCAUGGUAGUCUAUUCCUUGGCCUCUACCUCCUUUUCAUCAGUUAAAAAGAAAGGGAUUCAGCUCUGCAAAACUAAUGGUAAUGGGAUCUCAUAAUAUAUAUAUAAUGUGAAGUUGGAUGAGAUUUUGCAUCUUUGUUCUUUCCUCUGAUUCUAGACAAAUGAUAUGCAUUUUAAUAGGAUAUUGGUUUAUUGUUAAUGAAUUCUAUGUAUAAAUCUUCUCUCUGCUUUUUCUUGUGCUUGGCAGUGAUUCGUCA